This 357-nucleotide long non-coding RNA is filed under the name Saimiri boliviensis boliviensis (Bolivian squirrel monkey). Its description in RNAcentral is "lncRNA (ENSSBOG00000036428.1)". The record is from RNAcentral. Lineage: Eukaryota; Metazoa; Chordata; Mammalia; Primates; Cebidae.
CUCACUUUGUGACCCAUGCUGGAGUGGACUGGUGCAAUCAUGGCUCACUUAUAUUUUGUUUUUGUAGACAUAGGGCUUAUGCCAUGUUGCCCAAGGCUGGUCUCAAACUCAAGCACUCCUCCCACCUCAGCCUCCUAAGUGUUGGAAUUACAGGUAUGAGCCACUGCAUCUGGCCAAGGGAUGUCUUCUGAACCCGAGACCUCCACACCAUCUAUCCUUGUGUGCUGAAGAGUGGUACUCUGCCACCUUGAGUUGCCAUCCCUGCUGCACUCCAGCUUGGACUCCAACCAUAUUCAUUCAACAGAUGGUGAAGCCCUCUAUUGUCCUUACUCCCAAGUUCCUGUCCCAUGACCAGGG